Molecule: ribosomal RNA, 253 nt
Filed under: uncultured bacterium
Lineage: Bacteria
Description: partial 16S ribosomal RNA
Rfam family: Bacterial small subunit ribosomal RNA
Source: RNAcentral
UACGUAGGGUGCGAGCGUUAAUCGGAAUUACUGGGCGUAAAGCGUGCGCAGGCGGAUUGUUAAGCAAGAUGUGAAAUCCCCGGGCUCAACUUGGGAACUGCGUUUGAAACUACAAGACUAGAGUAGGUCAGAGGGGGGUAGAAUUCCACGUGUAGCAGUGAAAUGCGUAGAGAUGUGGAGGAAUACCAAUGGCGAAGGCAGCCCCCUGGGAUCAUACUGACGCUCAUGCACGAAAGCGUGGGGAGCAAACAGG